AACGAACGCUGGCGGCAUGCCUAACACAUGCAAGUCGAACGAGACCUUCGGGUCUAGUGGCGCACGGGUGCGUAACGCGUGGGAACCUGCCCUUAGGUUCGGAAUAACUCCCCGAAAGGGGUGCUAAUACCGGAUAAUGUCUACGGACCAAAGAUUUAUCGCCUUUGGAUGGGCCCGCGUUGGAUUAGCUAGUUGGUAGGGUAAAAGCCUACCAAGGCGACGAUCCAUAGCUGGUCUGAGAGGAUGAUCAGCCACACUGGGACUGAGACACGGCCCAGACUCCUACGGGAGGCAGCAGUGGGGAAUAUUGGACAAUGGGCGAAAGCCUGAUCCAGCAAUGCCGCGUGAGUGAUGAAGGCCUUAGGGUUGUAAAGCUCUUUUACCCGGGAUGAUAAUGACAGUACCGGGAGAAUAAGCUCCGGCUAACUCCGUG
Molecule: ribosomal RNA, 433 nt
Filed under: uncultured bacterium
Lineage: Bacteria
Description: partial 16S ribosomal RNA
Rfam family: Bacterial small subunit ribosomal RNA
Source: RNAcentral